This 253-nucleotide ribosomal RNA is filed under the name uncultured bacterium. RNAcentral's name for it is "partial 16S ribosomal RNA". It matches the Rfam family "Bacterial small subunit ribosomal RNA", at positions 524 to 776 of the family's 1533-position model. The record is from RNAcentral.
UACGGAGGGGGCCAGCGUUGUUCGGAAUCAUUGGGCGUAAAGGGCGCGUAGGCGGCUUGGUAAGUCCGUUGUGAAAUCCCUCGGCUCAACCGAGGAACUGCGACGGAUACUGCUCGGCUUGAGUCCCGGAGAGGGUAGCGGAAUUCCCAGUGUAGCGGUGAAAUGCGUAGAUAUUGGGAGGAACAUCGGUGGCGAAGGCGGCUACCUGGACGGGUACUGACGCUGAUGCGCGAAAGCUAGGGGAGCAAACAGG